RNAcentral lists this unclassified non-coding RNA (307 nucleotides) under plant metagenome. RNAcentral's name for it is "partial contains 5.8S ribosomal RNA, internal transcribed spacer 2, and large subunit ribosomal RNA". The stretch from base 1 to 105 matches the Rfam family "5.8S ribosomal RNA", at positions 50 to 154 of the family's 154-position model. The record is from RNAcentral.
GAAACGCGAUAGUUAAUGUGAAUUGCAGAAUUUAGUGAAUCAUCGAGUCUUUGAACGCACAUUGCGCCCGCCAGCACUCUGGCGGGCAUGCCUGUUCGAGCGUCAUUUCAACCCUCAGAACCCCUUGCGGGAUCUGGCGUUGGGGAUUGGCAUCCAGCCAGCCCCGAAAUCUAGUGGCGGUCCCUCCGCGACCUCCCCUGUGCAGUAGCGAUACCUCGCAGCGGGACAGCGGUCUGACCACGCCGUAAAACCCCCAACUUCUCAAGGUUGACCUCGAAUCAGGUAGGAAUACCCGCUGAACUUAAGC